CAAUGUGACAAAAUGUCAUCGGGGAGAUUUGUGCCAAGCGAGAUGAGGAUACAAGAUAUGGAAACAAAAAAAGUGACAGUACUGACAUGCAGUGUCCAGUAGUGGAGAAAAAUAUGGCAGGCCAGUAGGAAGACAUGAGUGGGCACUUCCAGUUUGACACAGACGCCACCCUGAUGACACAUUUAGUCCAACGUGAUAACCAAGGCGACCAACGACACCCCGUUGAUGCGUGUCAAAGAGGCCCAGAUGUAUGAAGUCGAUUUACUCCCAACUCAAAGGGCAAUAUCGUGAAAUAUUCGUGUGGAAAAAUACAUUUCCGUGAUAAUCGAACGGCAUAACGUGCAACUACGAGCGACACCCACCAGGAAAAAUGACAAGAUGACUCAGCAAUUGCAGGGUUCCGGUGCAGACUUUGAAUUGCCGUGAUGGAUUAUUACUGCUGUAGGAGCACCCCCAAAAGAUGGCAAUUUCAAGAUCGGGAGGGCGAUUAGAAUCGUGCCAAGUGAGCUGCGAGAUAUGAGCAAGAAAUUCGUGUGAACUCACCCCCCUCCACGCUGCCUCUCACCAACCCAGCCAUCUAUAAAGUAGUUGGCCUACAUAGUCGUCAAGCAACAUAUUGGGGAGGCCGAUUGUUAGCUAGUGAAUUGGACUGUACUCAAUCAUCCAUAUUUGAUUGACAAGUAAGGCGGAGCUUAUCCCAGAUGACACCGUUUCGGAAGAGGACCAAAGUGAAAUCGAUUAAAAAUCGGUUAAAAAAUAUUAAGCCGAUUUUUGCAGACUGUGUGAUGCGGAACUAAGCUAGCUGCAGGAAAAAAAAAAGGAGAACAUGGGAGCUGUCACUGGAGAAGCAGGAUACUGUAGGCCAUAUGAGGCCACAGCAGGCUGGGAAAGCUUGUUACUGCUUUGAGCUUCCACAUGUAAAAGCACCACAAC
Molecule: long non-coding RNA, 933 nt
Organism: Syngnathus typhle (broad-nosed pipefish)
Lineage: Eukaryota; Metazoa; Chordata; Actinopteri; Syngnathiformes; Syngnathidae
Exons: 3
Source: RefSeq, a predicted model, not a curated record